Molecule: ribosomal RNA, 427 nt
Filed under: uncultured bacterium
Lineage: Bacteria
Description: partial 16S ribosomal RNA
Rfam family: Bacterial small subunit ribosomal RNA
Source: RNAcentral
GUGGGGAAUAUUGGGCAAUGGGGGCAACCCUGACCCAGCGACGCCGCGUGGAGGAAGAAGUCCCUCGGGAUGUAAACUCCUGUUGUGUGGGAAGAAGCGAGUGACGGUACCACACGAGGAAGCCCCGGCAAACUACGUGCCAGCAGCCGCGGUAAUACGUAGGGGGCGAGCGUUGUCCGGAAUCACUGGGCGUAAAGGGCACGCAGGCGGACCGACAGGUCGUUUGUGAAAGGCGAGGGCUCAACCCUUGUUUGCGGACGAAACCGUCGGACUGGAGUACGGGAGAGGGAAGUGGAAUUCCCGGUGUAGCGGUGAAAUGGGUGGAUAUCGGGAGGAACACCAGUGGCGAAGGCGGCUUCCUGGCCGGAUACUGACGCUCAAGUGCGAAAGCUGGGGGAGCGAACGGGAUUAGAAACCCUUGUAGUCC